Long non-coding RNA from Salvelinus namaycush (lake trout), 925 nucleotides. RefSeq lists it as uncharacterized. The transcript has 3 exons. The record is from RefSeq and is a predicted model, not a curated record. NCBI's taxonomy places the organism in Eukaryota, Metazoa, Chordata, Actinopteri, Salmoniformes, Salmonidae.
GUUGUGAAGUGCAUUAACAAAAAGCUUUGUCCUUUCUUUACAACAAAACGCAAUUCACCACUUGGCUGUCUAUUAUAUCACCCUGUCACAGGCCCUCCCAGUCAUCACCACCACAUAAGAUUGCCUGCUGCAGUUUGCAGCCAAACAUGCAGCAUAGGGAAGACCAUCAAUGGGGCCCUCAUCAGCAUCAUGCAGACAUGCCCUCGCUGUAAGCAUUCCUGUGAAUGGAACGGUCAGCCACAUGUGGGCAAGAAUCCGGCAAGCAACCUUCAACAGCAACAGAUUUUUCAGGCUCCUUAUUUGUACAAAUACACAAGAUACAUGAGGUACAAAGAGACCUGGCACUCAACAAAUCCACAAUGAGAUGGACUGGAGAUGCUAUUGCCAGACUGCAGCCUCAGUCAAUUGAUGGGGAGACCAUAAUUGGCAAGGUUCAAUCUGACCUGUUCAAACUUCAACAUAGUACCGAUCCUAACUGCCAUUGGUAAUAAAACAGUGACUGUGUGCAUGUGUUCACAGAAACAUGUAUGGAACCAGCACAUGGAGACUUCCAAGUCCAGACUGACAGACAGCCUUGAUACUGAUGUCUCUGAAUGGAAAGACCUGGCGUUCAAAUUUUACUACACAAUUUUGAUUUGUACUGUCUUUUUUUAUUAGUGAAUUGAAUGGUAUCAGUCAAAUUGUAUUGUGCAUCAGGAUCAGGGAACUCCUGUUCUAUACGGGACACCACACAGGAAGGUAUGUCCACUCUGACAUGUUUGCCAAGGUAGCCCCAUUAUGACAUAACAUUGAAGGUUGUGCAAUAUUUAGACUUAAGGAUGCCACCCUUUAGAUAAAAUACAUAACGGUUCCGUAUUUCACUGAAAGAAUAAACGUUUUGUUUUCGAAAUGAUAGUGUCUGGAUUCGACCAUAUUAAUGACCAAA